CCUACGGGAGGCAGCAGUAGGGAAUUUUCGUCAAUGGGCGCAAGCCUGAACGAGCGAUGCCGCGUGAGUGACGAAGGCCUUCGGGUCGUAAAGCUCUGUUGCGGGGGAAAAAAGGCAGCAUCAGGAAAUGGGUGCUGACUGAUGGUGCCCCGCCAGACAGUCACGGCUAACUACGUGCCAGCAGCCGCGGUAAUACGUAGGUGGCGAGCGUUAUCCGGAAUGAUUGGGGGGAAGGGGGGCGCAGGCGGUCCGGCAAGGCGGGAGUGAAACGCAUGAGCUCAACUCAUGAAUUGCUGUGGAAACGGGAGGAGUGGAGAGCAGGAGAGGGCGGUGGAACUCCAUGUGUAGUGGUAAAAUGCGUAGAUAUAUGGAAGAACACCAGUGGCGAAGGCGGCCGCCUGGCCUGUUGCUGACGCUGAGGCACGAAAGCGUGGGGAGCAAAUAGGAUUAGAUACCCGGGUAGUC
RNAcentral lists this ribosomal RNA (465 nucleotides) under uncultured bacterium. RNAcentral describes it as "partial 16S ribosomal RNA". It matches the Rfam family "Bacterial small subunit ribosomal RNA", at positions 338 to 795 of the family's 1533-position model. The record is from RNAcentral.